Non-coding RNA from Cherax quadricarinatus, 1362 nucleotides. NCBI's taxonomy places the organism in Eukaryota, Metazoa, Arthropoda, Malacostraca, Decapoda, Parastacidae. The record is from RefSeq and is a predicted model, not a curated record.
CUUACUUUCUCCCUAUUUAUCCACCAUCCUACUCCAUCCCUCAUGAGAGAUACUAAGUCCCACGCAGCAGUAACUCCAGCUAUAUCUACGGGAACGAAAUUCUUGAAGUUCCCGUAGCUAUUGAACCCAUAGUGCAAUCAAACCAUCAGUCAUCUGACCGAUGCCUUCCACUGGAUUACCGGUUAACCCCUCUAAAAAUUAUGAUUAUAGUUAUAACCAUUUAGGUUUGUUCACUGGUUUGGACUUUUAGGAUUCACUUGGCAUGGGUUCAAACCUCACCAGGUCUGUGGUUUGUUUGCAAUCGUGUUGUUAUGACAUCGUCAGCCAUAGUGCAAUACUUGACGAUACCCUCAUCGCCUUACUGAAAUCUCUAGGCUCAGACUGGCAAUUCUCAUUACGUUAUGUAUCCAAUUUUGCUCAAUUGGAAAAUACAACUUCUUCCAUCAUUCCUCACUAUCUUCCAUCUCUGCACCUUCUCCCUCAAUCAAGAUGGGAUACGCAGUAAGAUAUUCUUCAUGAUUAUCAAUAGUAAACGAAACCAACAAGCAAAAUAAAACAUUAGUUUUAAAAUUUACAGAGAGCACUAGGACCAAAAGGUCAAUUAGUGGUCUAUGAAUAAAAGAUUCUACACUCGCCUGUACACGGACACACACUACCACAACCCCCCGUCACCGCCUCUAAAGAAAAAAAAAACAUGCUAACAAACUAAUAUAUACUGUCAUUAGUCAGUACCUGACCAGCCGGGCUGUGGUUCGAACGUCGGGUUGCGUGCGGCCAACGGUAACAGCCUGGUUGAUUAGCCCUGAUCCACCAUGAGGCCUGGUCACAGACUCGGCCGCGGGGGCGUUGACCUCCGAAACCCUCUCCAGGUAUAUCCAGAUGACAUGGUUCGUUUGGGAGAUUCUGAAGAGAAGUUCCAAAGGCUGGUAGAGGGAUUUAGGAAGUCCAGUCUGUGAUCAAGUUUCCCUGGUGGCUGACCAGCCAGGCUCUUGUUACAUGCAACUUGCAAGUCUACACGACCAUUACUGCCCAUCUGAUUAGGGGUCUUGAUGUGGAUAUUUGGAGCUCCUCACUCACAAUCACCUGCUUGCAAGGAUCCUACUCCUGUGUUGACCGCGGGGUCAACGCCCCGCCUGUGACCAGGCCUCGGGCUGGCUCAGGGCUUGAUCAACCAAGUUGUUACUGGCGUACGAGCUACAGCCGGCUGGUCAAGUACUGACUGUAAACUUUACCAGAUGGACAACUGUCACCAGAAACAACUCAAAAUGUUCAAGAAAUGCCAAAAUAUUUUAUCCACACUGGUGUAUUACCAUCCAUUCUGAAAAAAAAUAAAUACCCUGACCUUACUGUCUUUAAAUAAUG